UACGUAGGCAGCAAGCGUUGUUCGGAAUUACUGGGCGUAAAGAGUGUGUAGGCGGUGUUCUAAGUCUGUUGUGAAAUCUCCCGGCUUAACUGGGAGGGUGCGGCGGAAACUGGAAUGCUAGAGGAUGGGAGAGGUAAGCGGAAUUCCUGGUGUAGCGGUGAAAUGCGUAGAUAUCAGGAGGAACACCUGUGGUGUAGACGGCUUUCUGGACCAUAGCUGACGCUGAGACACGAAAGCGUGGGUAGCAAACAGG
This 253-nucleotide ribosomal RNA is filed under the name uncultured bacterium. RNAcentral describes it as "partial 16S ribosomal RNA". It matches the Rfam family "Bacterial small subunit ribosomal RNA", at positions 524 to 776 of the family's 1533-position model. The record is from RNAcentral.